Molecule: long non-coding RNA, 358 nt
Filed under: Lotus japonicus
Lineage: Eukaryota; Viridiplantae; Streptophyta; Magnoliopsida; Fabales; Fabaceae
Description: long non-coding RNA (LJAP_LNC000636)
Source: RNAcentral
GAAAAGUCUUUCUCAGUUUUGUAUUAUACUGAAGCUGAGACUUUAAAAGUGUCAUCUCAAAAAGACAAUUCAGAGUUAAAAAUUGCAGCUGAUUUGGCUUCCCCGUUUUAUUGGAAAAACUUCAAAAAUGAAGGAAUCAGUAUCGCAAGAUUAAAGGGGAAGCUAUUAAUGGAAAAUGGUAGAUAUCACUUGCUGAAUUGGAAAAACUUCAAAAAUGAAGGAAUCAGUAUCGCAAGAUUAAAGGGGAAGAUAUUAAUGGAAAAUGGUAGAUAUCACUUGCUGAUGGAUGAUCAUGAUAGAAAUUCCUCAAGAAAUAUGCCUUUGGUACAUUGGAGUUUACCGGAUUCAGAAAAGCUUC